Molecule: small RNA, 305 nt
Filed under: Pongo abelii (Sumatran orangutan)
Lineage: Eukaryota; Metazoa; Chordata; Mammalia; Primates; Hominidae
Description: processed transcript
Source: RNAcentral
GAGGAGCUGACAAGCACAAGUGUGGAACACAUCAUUGUCAAUCCUAAUGCUGCCUAUGACAAGUUCAAAGACAAGAGAGUGGGGACAAAGGGACUUGAUUUCUCAGAUCGUAUUGGAAAAACCAAGAGGACAGGAUAUGAAUCUGGAGAAUAUGAGAUGCUUGGAGAGGGUCUGGGAGUGAAGGAGACACCCCAGCAAAAGUACCAGCGCCUGCUGCAUGAGGUCCAAGAGCUAACCACUGAAGUUGAAAAAAUCAAGCUGGCAGCCCUGAAGCAGCAGCUGGUUGCUUCCCACCUGGAGAAGCU